Molecule: ribosomal RNA, 301 nt
Filed under: uncultured bacterium
Lineage: Bacteria
Description: partial 16S ribosomal RNA
Rfam family: Bacterial small subunit ribosomal RNA
Source: RNAcentral
CAGCCGCCGCGGUAAAACGUAGGUGGCAAGCGUUGUCCGGAAUUAUUGGGCGUAAAGGGCUCGCAGGCGGUUUCUUAAGUCUGAUGUGAAAGCCCCCGGCUCAACCGGGGAGGGUCAUUGGAAACUGGGAAGCUUGAGUGCAGAAGAGGAGAGUGGAAUUCCACGUGUAGCGGUGAAAUGCGUAGAGAUGUGGAGGAACACCAGUGGCGAAGGCGACUCUCUGGUCUGUAACUGACGCUGAGGAGCGAAAGCGUGGGGAGCGAACAGGAUUAGAUACCCCAGUAGUCCCUGUCUCUUAUAC